Pteronotus mesoamericanus is the source of this 618-nucleotide non-coding RNA. NCBI's taxonomy places the organism in Eukaryota, Metazoa, Chordata, Mammalia, Chiroptera, Mormoopidae. The record is from the annotation of a RefSeq genome assembly.
AUGUACCCCACUCUCUUCUGGUAUGUUCAGUAUCCUGGAGAACGUCCACAGGUCCUGCUGAAAGCUGCAACGGUCACUGAAAAGGGAAGCAACAAAGGUUUUGAAGCCUCAUACCGCAGAAAACCAAAUUCCUUCAACUUGGAGAAACGCUCACCCCACGUGUCAGAUUCGGCAACAUACUACUGUGUUCAGAUGACACAAGACCUGAAACUGAAGAACAAGAUAUUUUUCACCUAUUGGGAGAACUUGACCAUGUUCUUCAGCCUUCUGAAGGUGGUCCUGGCUUCAAUGUGGCUAGGAUCCAGUAUUGCCCAGAAGGUAACUCAAGGACAACCAGCAAUGUUAGUGCAGGAGAAGGAGGCUGUGACCCUGGACUGCACAUAUGACACCAGAGAUAGUCGUUAUAGUCUAUUUUGGUACAAGCAGUUCAGCAGUGGGGCUCUGAUUUUUCUUAUUCGUCAGGACUCCUAUAACCAGAAAAAUGCCACUGAAGGUCGCUACUCAUUGAAUUUUCAGAAAGCAAACAGUUCUGUCAACCUCGUCGUCUCAGCUUCACAGCUGGAGGACUCUGCAGUGUAUUUCUGUGCCCUGAGUGAGCCCACAGUGAGAGAUGUGUAG